GUGCUCACUUCGGCAGCACGUAUACUAAAAUUGGAAUGAUACAGAGAUGAUUAGCAUGGCCCCUACGCAAGGAUGACAUGCAAAUUCAUGAAACAUUCCAUAUUUAA
This 107-nucleotide small nuclear RNA is filed under the name Moschus moschiferus (Siberian musk deer). The record is from RNAcentral. Lineage: Eukaryota; Metazoa; Chordata; Mammalia; Artiodactyla; Moschidae.